UACGGAGGGUGCAAGCGUUAAUCGGAAUUACUGGGUGUAAAGCGCGCGUAGGCGGCGUAAUAAGUCGGCUGUGAAAGCCCUGGGCUCAACCUGGGAACUGCAUUCGAUACUGUCUGGCUAGAGUGUGGGAAAGGGUGGUGGAAUUCCCGGUGUAGCGGUGAAAUGCGUAGAUAUCGGGAGGAACAUCAGUGGCGAAGGCGACCGCCUGGCGCAACACUGACGCUGAGGUGCGAAAGCGUGGGUAGCAAACAGG
Molecule: ribosomal RNA, 253 nt
Filed under: uncultured bacterium
Lineage: Bacteria
Description: partial 16S ribosomal RNA
Rfam family: Bacterial small subunit ribosomal RNA
Source: RNAcentral